This 1030-nucleotide unclassified non-coding RNA is filed under the name Hevea brasiliensis (rubber tree). The record is from RNAcentral. Lineage: Eukaryota; Viridiplantae; Streptophyta; Magnoliopsida; Malpighiales; Euphorbiaceae.
GGAGAAUCAUCUCUUUCUACAAUGUCGCUUGGCUGUUGGGUAACCCUAAGGUAUUGGAAAACCUCCAAUCCUAGCAGGCUUGAUUUGGUAUAAUGCAUGAAGAAAGAUAGCAAACUUUUUAAGGUGAUGAGAAACAUGGUUACACUUUGAUGUUUGUUCUCCAUGGUUUCAAUAAGUAGUUUCAACUGUCAAACUAUAUAUUAUAGAUGGAGGUUCUUCAACAGGAGACAAUUUUGCUCAUGAGUGAUGUAGAAGGAAGAAGUUGAGAGGGUAUUAGAGGAGGAAUGGGCAAUCUUCAAUGUCAAAUGGCAAGCUAGAAAGAAGCAGGCACCUCCAUCAUUGAGGAGAGUCAAAAUUGUAUGGAAUGAAAGUAACAAGGAUUAACUGAGAGUUCCAAAUGAAUUGCAUUGAGGAUAUUUAUAGCAAGAAAGAGGAAUUUGGUUAAGAAAGCAAAAAUAAAUGUCAUGCGUGCACUAGUGAAUGCACAAUGGGCAUUUAGGCAUACUUAGAAAGGUUGGAGAUAUGUACUUUCCCUAACGAGCAAUUUUUUAUCCCACCAAGUCAAAACACCUUAGAUUCCUAUUGGUAAUGCACCUGCUGCUUAAUCCAAAUCUUUUAGUUGUAGAUGACCUAUUCUUGAGCAGCUUCUCCAAAUCAUUAGAAGAGACUUGUAAUUUCUGCAUGUGGCAUCUAAAUAUUGUAAAAUACAACAAAUUGAAUGUAAAUAUUUUUUCAAACUCAAGGUUUUCGUUUGGUUAGCAAUACUCAACUGGAUUAAUACCAACAAUUUGUUGUAGGUGACCUCUUUCUUUCUCUCUAUAUCUCUUGCUCCCUGCCUCCCCCUCUUUCUUUAAAUUAGCUUUUUGCACAUUUGGAUAGGCUUUUUGUUGCAUUUUGCAAAUAUUGGCGUGCCAAAAAGAUACGGUGAAUUAAGCAGUCACUAAUUCCGUGAAAGGAUUUUAUGGUAUGCUAUAGUUGUGUUUAUUUGGUGUGUCUAGUUAGAGAGAGGUGAUGCAGUCAAGGAAGACUA